This 232-nucleotide ribosomal RNA is filed under the name uncultured bacterium. RNAcentral describes it as "partial 16S ribosomal RNA". It matches the Rfam family "Bacterial small subunit ribosomal RNA", at positions 103 to 334 of the family's 1533-position model. The record is from RNAcentral.
CGGGUAGCGGAACACGUACGCAACCUUCCUUUAACUGGAGGAUAGCCCCUCGAAAGAGGGAUUAAUACUCCGUAACAUAAUGAUAAGGCAUCUUAUUAUUAUUAUAGCUCCGGCGGUUAAAGAUGGGCGUGCGACUGAUUAGAUAGUUGGCGGGGUAACGGCCCACCAAGUCAGCGAUCAGUAACUGGUGUGAGAGCACGACCAGUCACACGGGCACUGAGACACGGGCCCG